UGGAUUAUAGCUCAGUGUUAGAGCACUUGCCGAGUAUGCAUGAGGUCCUGGGUUCAAUUUCCAGCGCUGCAG
Molecule: transfer RNA, 72 nt
Filed under: Ictidomys tridecemlineatus (thirteen-lined ground squirrel)
Lineage: Eukaryota; Metazoa; Chordata; Mammalia; Rodentia; Sciuridae
Description: Spermophilus tridecemlineatus (thirteen-lined ground squirrel) tRNA
Rfam family: tRNA
About the family: Transfer RNA (tRNA) molecules are approximately 80 nucleotides in length. Their secondary structure includes four short double-helical elements and three loops (D, anti-codon, and T loops).
Source: Rfam by way of RNAcentral